CUAAUCCAUUUCAUUUUACUCUCUUAUCUCUCCUUCUAUCCGAGGCGGCGAUUUUUGUUUCUUUCACUCUUCUUCUUCUUCGUUGAUUCAAAACUCUAUAGCAAUUCAAAGAUCGGAGCUAAAUCAUGACUAACAAAAAUUUAAUAUUUGGUGGCUCUGUUGACAUCCGAAUGUUUUCUGUCAAAGAAUCUAAUUAUCCGACUCCAAAGAAAGGAGGAUCAUCGUUUACUAGUACUGAUAGAAGCUCUAAACUGCACUCUAGACCAUAUGUCAUUAGAAGUACUUGUUAGCCACGGAAGAGACAUCCUCCACCAGUUAUGGCGCUAUUGGGAGAUAUUCUUACUACUAGAUAGCAAAGAAGAGAGACAACACUAUGAAGCAUACCUUUUGGUACAGACGAUAACACGCUGUGCACCAGCCACUCACUUCCACACCUGGAGGAAGGUCGGAUCUUAUUGUCUAAUCCUAAGUAUGAAUGCCUCGUCUCCUCGCCAAUUCUGUCUGUUACCGCUUGCUGCGGAGGUGUAGUCAGCAGAGUCUCACUCAUGAAAAAGGGCAAAGCUGAAGUGAAUAAGAUAAAGUCAUGUCCCUCGGCUCUGGUGACAUCCGAAUGCUGACGCGUUUGAUGGCUCUGGCGACAUCCGAAUGCCGAGGCGUUUGGCAGCUCCGCUGACAUCUGAAUGCCGAGGCAUUUGGUGGCUCCGACGACCGACAUCCGAAUGCUGACGCGUUUGGUGGCUCCGUUGACAUCCGAAUGUUUACGUGUUUGGUGGCUCUGGUGACAUCUGAACGCCGAGGCGUUUGGUGGCUCGGUUGACAUCCGAAUGCUUACGCGUUUGGUGGCUCCGGUAACAUCCGGAUGCUUAUUCUGUUAAAGAAUCUGAUUAUCUGUCUCCAAAGGUACAAAUUCUUAACCCCGUUGACAUCCGAAUGCUUUCGCGUUUGGUGGCUCGGUUGACACCCGAAUGCUUACGCGUUUGGUGGCUCCGGUAACAUCCGAAUGCUUAAUCUGUCAAAGAAUCUAACUAUCUGUCUCCAAAGGUACAAAUUCUUAACUCCCCGAUUAUGUAUCUUGUUUGUUACUUUGUUGCACAACUUGAUGACUUAUUCCAGGGACAGAAAAUAUUCAGUAGGGAGACUUUACAAGGAAGAAUACUUGGCAUUUGGUCAGCUUGAUGCUUGGGUAAUGUUUCAACUAAAUUAGCCCUGUUUAGCUUUUGUUUUAUAUACUGCUAUUGGUACUCUUUCUUUCAAAAUUAAAUCUUGUGUUCAAUUUGUUUGAGAAAGAAGAAAACCAGUUACAUGUCAAAUCAAAAGGUAAACAUUCUUAACCCUACCUUGAUCUUAAUUUUCCCUUAUAUUUCUAAAAUGUUGGAGUUUCUUUUUUGCUUGUUACAGGUAUAUCGUUCUUGUUGUGUCAGGUUAGUACAUUUUUUGCCUUUACAAAGACAUAGUAGUUGUUAUCUCAUGGAUAAACAAUUGCAGGAAAAACAGUGAGAUUCUUUUCUUACAUCAAUAUGUAUCGAGGCAGUGAUGGUUAAAUAGUUUAGAGGCAUGCAUGUCACAUUCCAUUUUGGUAUAAUUUUUGUUACAAAUAAAAAGGUAAACAUUGUUAACUCUAACUCUCUUUGUUUAUUAUGUUUUGCAUAAAGUUGUUUCUAACUUGAGCGUCGGAGUAUCUUUUUUGUUUUUUGCAGGUUUUGCUUUUGUAUUCCUAUGCCCAAUUCAAUUACCAGACUUGAAACGGAGCGCUGGUGCCGCAUGUGGAAUGCUUAGCUUUUGAUCAGUUUGCCUCUGUCUGACUUCAAAGGAUACAAAUGGAGAUCGGUCAGUCCCAUGAAUUGUGUACUAAUGAGAUCUCUUCUUCCUUGAAUCAAAAGUCUUGGCUGCUUAUUUGGAGGCUGCUCAACAGGGAGAAUUUUUAAUGUGGAAUGCUGUUGCCUGGGUAGAGAAUGCUUGCAUGCUUGGCAUUUGAGCAGUAUACUGUCAGGAGAUCAAGGGCAUAAUCAAGGCAAGUCUCCAGAACAACAUUGUUCGUGCACUGCAUACAUCUGGAAUGAUUUCCCACCUUUCAUGGUUCUGGUAAUAGCUAUACUGAACGAUGGUACCAUUAUGACGAUAUCCAAAGACCGUGUGAAGCCUUCUCCGAAACCAGACAACUGGAAACUGAAUGAGAUAUUCACAACUAGCAUUGUCAUAGGGACUUAUCUUGCACUAGUUACCGUAUUUUUUACUGGAUAGUCAUGGCGACAACUUUCUUUCAGACGCACUUCCAUUUGAGGUCUCUAAGCUUAACUAACAGGAAGGUAUCUUCAUGUCAGCGUCAUCAGCCAAACUGUAAUAUUUGUUACUCACAGUCAAAGCUGGUCAUUUGUCGAAAGGCCAGGUGUUCUAUUGAUGUGUGCAUUUCUGGUGGCUCGGCUGGUUGCUACCGUGAUAGCAGUCUAUGCAAAUGUCAGCUUCGCAUCAAUCCAAGGCAUUGGAUGGGGUUGGGCUGCUGCAAAGUAUGACAAUAAUAUAAAAAACUGUGACACCGGGACUAACUGCUAACAAUAAUAUAUUUCAGCUGCAGACGGCUUUCACUUCUAAGAAAGAUUACGGGAAGGAAGACAGAGAAGCAAAGUGGGUUCUUUCUCAAAGAUUAUUAGAAGGGAUCAACUCCACUGAUUUAGACACAACUGGAUGGAGGUCUUCAAUACUAGCGGGAAAUAUGGGGUAAGAGACUUAUUAAUGAUGGUGCUUAUUACAUUUCCGAGCCUGGCAUAGUUAACGUAAUCUGUGGGGCAGUGAGCUGAAAUGCCUGGGAGAGCUAACCCCAUAAUCCUAAAGAUGCAAAACCAACCUUCGUUGUACCAGACACAUUAAGCUCCUCAGUAACUCCCAAGCAGCAUUUAGAUACUCUGGAAUCAGGAAUUUUAUCCCAUAGAAGUUGGGAUUAGGCUCUUCCUCCACUUCCCUCAAGGAUAAAAAACAAAAUCAAGAUCGCAGCUGAGCUAAUUGAGAAGCAUUGUUUAAACGAAAUCUUAUAUAUGUUGGAUCAAUGUGCACAUUAAGAUUAAUAGACUAAUUACCUUUUCAAUGUA
Long non-coding RNA from Papaver somniferum (opium poppy), 3083 nucleotides. RefSeq lists it as uncharacterized. NCBI's taxonomy places the organism in Eukaryota, Viridiplantae, Streptophyta, Magnoliopsida, Ranunculales, Papaveraceae. The transcript is spliced from 9 exons. The record is from RefSeq and is a predicted model, not a curated record.